CAGCAGCCGCGGUAAUACAGAGGUGCCAAGCGUUAGGCGGAAUCACUGGGCUUAAAGCGUGUGUAGGUGGACGGGUAAGUACCUUGUGAAAUCCCCCGGCUCAACCGGGGAACUGCUUGGUAUACUGCUGGUCUUGAGCAACCUAGGGGCGAGCGGAACAAAUGGUGGAGCGGUGAAAUGCGUAGAUAUCAUUUGGAACGCCAAUGGUGAAAACAGCUCGCUGGGGGUUUGCUGACACUGAGACACGAAAGCCAGGGGAGCAAACGGGAUUAGAUACCCCGGUAGUCCUGGCCAUAAACGAUGUCGACUAGAUCGUAGUGCCUCUGACGGUAUUACGGUCGAAGCCAAAGUGCUAAGUCGACCGCCUGGGAAGUACGGUCGCAAGGCUAAAACUCAAAGGAAUUGACGG
RNAcentral lists this ribosomal RNA (409 nucleotides) under uncultured bacterium. RNAcentral's name for it is "bacterial SSU rRNA". It matches the Rfam family "Bacterial small subunit ribosomal RNA", at positions 509 to 916 of the family's 1533-position model. The record is from RNAcentral.